AUGGAGGCUCUGACCCCGACGCACCCUCCUGGUUCCUGGUUGCAUCUCCCCCUGUUUUUCAGGUUGUUGUGUGACAACUUUGCGGUGUGGAGCUGCGUGCAGACGGCGCUCAAGGCGGCCAACUCCGUCGUGGGGCUCGCCGGCAUGGACGUCAUCCUCUACGCGCUUUGGGUGCUCCGGGCCUGGUCCAAGCAGCACUCCGUCGUGGGGCUCGCCCAGUUGCUCACUGCUGGAUUUGCUGUUUUACCCCCCAUUUUUUUGCUGCCGCUCCGCAUUACUCCGACUGAAUUCGCGGCGAAAUCUGUCGCUCGGCUAGCUGACGCACCCACCGCCGACCGAAUUCCCACUGUACUGCCGGGGUAG
This 363-nucleotide ribosomal RNA is filed under the name Triticum aestivum (bread wheat). RNAcentral's name for it is "partial small subunit ribosomal RNA". The record is from RNAcentral. Lineage: Eukaryota; Viridiplantae; Streptophyta; Magnoliopsida; Poales; Poaceae.